UAGGAAUAAAAGACAAUCCUAAAUUACAUUCUACCGUUGGUUCCUCGGAUCGAUCCUGGGCUCGUUACUACAAUAUUAUUGUGAAAUUAAGGGGUUCAGUGAAAUAUACAUUUGUUAAUUUGAUAAAGCCUAUUCGUGAUAGUAAAUUAUAUGCUUUAUCACUUGGCCCUAUCUGUUUUUGAUCAGUACCCUUGGGUUCCAUAUCCUGACUUGCUACCACAGACUUUGUACCAGUUCUUGUAGUUGUAACUGAAUCAAACCCCAAGCCUACUUCCUUGCCCACUGAGAUUGCUGGAAUUGUUGGAAUGUCUGAAACUUUAUGGGUUGGCUACUGCGUUGUUGAUUCCUUUUCUUUUCUUGCUACUAGGGACUGAGGAGUAACUACUGAAUGUACUUUUGCAUAGGCUAUCCCUGUUCUACUUGAAACUAAAGUUGAACCCCUCAAAGUAGGCUUAGUCCUUGUCUUCAGCCAAUCAGCCCUAGGCCCAGAACAGAUUCAAGCUUCAGAACAGAUUCAAGCUUCAGCUAGAGCUCCACACAUCAGGGAGGGUGGCUACAACGCAUUCAGGAGGCUUCCUGGUGAUGUCGACUUCAACAAGGACUCCAACAAAAUUAAUCCGUUGUCUCUCUUUGGUGAUUCGAUCCAUCUACAGGGGCUCCCCACUAAAGAGGUGAUCUUCUCAGACCUGUUGUGGACCAGCAGUCGAUGGGUAACCCAUAGAUUUGCAUCCAAAGCGGCAGCUGGUUAUGUAUCGCUGAUUCGAAGGUGAAGAAAGGUGUCAUGGCUUUAAGCUAAAAGGGCAACCAUACGUGAUGUAAGGGCUUCCUUUCAAAAUGUUAACGAAUUGGCCACUUUCUAGCCAGGGAACCUGCCCAAGAACCUCCCAAAUAGGCAAAACCCGACGGUUUCCUCAAGUGAUUCCUUAUCCUCAGCUGAAAGGGUGGCAUGAUCUCCUUGCCGUUUCAAUAAUUUUAGAGAUGUGUCAAUGGAUCAAAUCCAAUUCUUUGUUAAUAGUUCUGACCACCGACCAUUGAAUGCACUCAAUGUUGCUCUUCCACGUCCUUGGCCUCCUGAUUGUGGCCUCUGAUCAGAUGCUGCUUUGCCACCUGUACCUGCCUCUGGUGAACGCACCAUCGGAACUCUCUCUGGUUGCGCUCUUCCUUCUGUUCGAGGGACCUGAUCCAAUGUGAUGCCCUUAUCCUUUGACAAUGAUGGAGAGGGUUCUAGGGCAGCCGAUGCCUGCUGUUGAUGCCGCUGUGUGGUGUGUUGUGCUGCAGCCGCUGUAUCAGAGGGUAGUCCCGUGCCGUAGGGGAGAGAUCUCCAUCUCUGUUUCGGUGGCAGCACCAUUGGCACGCAUGAGUUUAACUAUGAGGUUUUGCGAAGUCAUA
Zingiber officinale is the source of this 1389-nucleotide long non-coding RNA. RefSeq lists it as uncharacterized. NCBI's taxonomy places the organism in Eukaryota, Viridiplantae, Streptophyta, Magnoliopsida, Zingiberales, Zingiberaceae. The record is from RefSeq and is a predicted model, not a curated record. The transcript has 3 exons.